Daldinia eschscholtzii is the source of this 112-nucleotide non-coding RNA. Lineage: Eukaryota; Fungi; Ascomycota; Sordariomycetes; Xylariales; Hypoxylaceae. The record is from the annotation of a GenBank genome assembly.
UCCGAAUUGGUGUAGUGGCUAACAUUUGGUGCUCUCAUGGGUUAAAUAUCUAACAAGGUAAUAUUAACUUGUCGGAUCCGCCAAGCCCGGGGUUCGAUUCCCCGAUUCGGAG